This 72-nucleotide transfer RNA is filed under the name Marmota monax (woodchuck). RNAcentral's name for it is "tRNA.Gly". Lineage: Eukaryota; Metazoa; Chordata; Mammalia; Rodentia; Sciuridae. The record is from RNAcentral.
GGGGAUGUGGCUCAAGCGGUAGUGCGCGCGCCUCCCAUGUGCGGGACGCUGGGUUUGAUCCUCAGCGCCACA